This 73-nucleotide transfer RNA is filed under the name Actinomycetes bacterium. Its description in RNAcentral is "tRNA-Arg". It matches the Rfam family "tRNA". From Rfam's summary of the family: Transfer RNA (tRNA) molecules are approximately 80 nucleotides in length. Their secondary structure includes four short double-helical elements and three loops (D, anti-codon, and T loops). RNAcentral also lists the same sequence under 4 other names. Lineage: Bacteria; Bacillati; Actinomycetota; Actinomycetes. The record is from RNAcentral.
GCCCACGUAGCUCAGGGGAUAGAGCGUCGGUUUCCUAAACCGUGCGUCGCAGGUUCGAAUCCUGCCGUGGGCG